Carassius auratus (goldfish) is the source of this 2082-nucleotide long non-coding RNA. RefSeq lists it as uncharacterized. The record is from RefSeq and is a predicted model, not a curated record. Lineage: Eukaryota; Metazoa; Chordata; Actinopteri; Cypriniformes; Cyprinidae. The transcript is spliced from 13 exons.
CACAGACCACAUGACUGUUUAUUAUCACUAUAAUAAAUAAAUCAGGAUACCAUUGAUGUGCUUUCUUAUAUAGAGGGUUGUCAGGAAGACCAAUGCACUAACCUUUCACUGAACUAUUUGCAUGUAUGCAGAUGUGGGCUCUCCAUGCUCUUUUCACGGUUGUGGAUCUAGCAGGCACAUUGUACCACAGUCACUUGGAGGCUAGUUUCAAUCUGCUGCAACGUUUGCUGCUCUCAACGCCACACACACAUGUGGAAGUACAGCAAAGCCUGGGCCGCUGAUUUAAUACCCUCAUCACCUCCGUGGGACAUGAUAUGCAAGUUGCAGCUGCUGCUGUAGAAACUCAACAGGAGGAGGAUGGAGAUCGAUGACCACUCCUCUGCAUUCCUCGCAAAGACUGAAUCCAGCGGCCCCUUCAAUAACCUGCGCUGGUCCACUCGUGUGUUUUCCAUGGAGUGUGUGUGUGUUGUAUAAUAGCACAGUGUGAGAAUGGAGACAGGGCUCACUUCAACAUGACACUUGCUCAAGAACAGCGUUUACAUGAAUCUGCAGAUUUCCUGGUUCUCCACUUGGCAGACUGCAUGGGUUUCAUAGCAGCCACAGACCACAGCGAUCAGCUCCGACUGGCUGGUUUACAAACACUGCUUGUCACUAUCCAGAAAUUCUUCAGUGUGCCAGAGCCUGAGUUCCCUGGACAUGUCAUUCUGGAGCCAUGUCAAGCAAUGUUGGAGCUGCACUCAAAGACCUGCCUUCCUUGUGGACGCCCCUCCUAAAGUCUGCCAGGUUUGCAGUGCAUGGAUCGCCAGUGGGGUCAUCAGCGACCUGCGUGACCUGAGAAGGGUACAUCAGCUUUUGGCUUCCUCUCUCGCCAAAGCUCAAAGCCUGGGAAGAGGUGUAUAUCACAGCGGUACAGGGCUCCGGGCAGCCAUCUUCAGCAGCAGAAUGAUGAGGCUGGGACUGCAGGUCCAGCAGGGGCUGGAUUGCUCAAACAUGUCCAGACUGAGCCGCCUGUGGCUGGCUGCCCUUCAGGACCAUGCCCUGCUCACCCUGCCCUCACAAUACUCCAGUCAGCUCCCCUCCACAGGCUUUGAGUGUGGAGCUGCUCAGCAUUCACUCGGGAAUCUCCCAGCAUUCAACCGGCUGUGCUGGAACUGGUGAAACAGAUUGUUUGUGCUGCUCCGGAUUAUGUCAAAGAGAAAUGUUGCAGCGCAGAGGUUGAUGAUGGUGCAGCAGAGAAGGAAACUAUUCCUGAGUUUGGUGAGGGGUGAGACACUAGUCUCUCUUGUGAGAAAGCUUCCAUAGCUCAGCCCCAAACUGGCUGGCAGCCCUACAGGGCAGGGAGGACAGACCUGCUCCCUCAGCAACACUGACUGUAGACUCGUCACAUCUGCUCAGAACUGCCCUCCAUCUGUUCACCAGAGGUGCUCUAUCUGCUGCUGGGGGUGUUGAGAGAGGCGGUGAAGGGCUCUGUCGGAGCAGAGAGUGGACAGCUGGUAUCAGGCAUCCUGCAGGCCCACGAGCAGAGCUGAGAAGAGUCUUGGGCCUGGACUGAACUGCUGCGAUGUGCACUGCAUACAGUCUCUGGUUUUUCAUGGAUUGUUUUGGAUGGAUAAAAUGGAGCCUGGAGUAGAUGAGGUCACCGUGUUGACAUCUCUCACCAUCUUCCUGCUGUACGCCAGUGCUGAGGAGACCACAGUUGAGUCCCUGCAGACGUGCUGGAUCCAGACAUUCAGAGCCAGUCUGGAAUCUAAGGACCCUGUGAAUUUUGCUGUAAAUUUCAAAUCUUCGGAGCCGCAUCGUCAACGGUCGAGGAGAUUAACGUUAAAGACAAGAGGAGUGAUUCACAACUCUGGAGACACUUUGACAAAUGGGCACUGGAUGCUGAGUAUUGAAGGCGAGGUGGUGUGUGAGGGCACUCAGCCCAGUUUCCUGUCCGGCCUUGCCACUCUGUUUGCUGCUAAUUACUAGUUUAAUCUUGAGUAUCAGGAGGAAGCAGUGUGUACCUUGGAGUUCAUUCAAAGGUGCUUUGUGGGCAUAAAUCCAGAGAGAGGACCCAAAGCCAAGGGAAAAGUGCCAUCGAAA